UACGAAGGGUGCAAGCGUUACUCGGAAUUAUUGGGCGUAAAGCGUGCGCAGGCGGUUUUGUAAGUCUGUCGUGAAAUCCCCGGGCUCAACCUGGGAAUUGCGAUGGAGACUGCAAGGCUAGAAUCUGGCAGAGGGGGGUAGAAUUCCACGUGUAGCAGUGAAAUGCGUAGAGAUGUGGAGGAACACCGAUGGCGAAGGCAGCCCCCUGGGUCAAGAUUGACGCUCAUGCACGAAAGCGUGGGGAGCAAACAGG
This 253-nucleotide ribosomal RNA is filed under the name uncultured bacterium. RNAcentral describes it as "partial 16S ribosomal RNA". It matches the Rfam family "Bacterial small subunit ribosomal RNA", at positions 524 to 776 of the family's 1533-position model. The record is from RNAcentral.